CCUACGGGGGGCUGCAGUGAGGAAUAUUGGUCAAUGGACGAGAGUCUGAACCAGCCAAGUAGCGUGAAGGAUGACUGCCCUAUGGGUUGUAAACUUCUUUUAUAUGGGAAUAAAAUGUUCCACGUGUGGGAUUUUGUAUGUACCAUAUGAAUAAGGAUCGGCUAACUCCGUGCCAGCAGCCGCGGUAAUACGGAGGAUCCGAGCGUUAUCCGGAUUUAUUGGGUUUAAAGGGAGCGUAGGUGGAUUGUUAAGUCAGUUGCGAAAGUUUGCGGCUCAACCGUAAAAUUGCAGUUGAAACUGGCAGUCUUGAGUACAGUAGAGGUGGGCGGAAUUCGUGGUGUAGCGGUGAAAUGCUUAGAUAUCACGAAGAACUCCGAUUGCGAAGGCAGCUCACUGGACUGCAACUGACACUGAGGCUCGAAAGUGUGGGUAUCAAACAGGAUUAGAUACCCUAGUAGUC
Molecule: ribosomal RNA, 460 nt
Filed under: uncultured bacterium
Lineage: Bacteria
Description: partial 16S ribosomal RNA
Rfam family: Bacterial small subunit ribosomal RNA
Source: RNAcentral